AACGAACGCUGGCGGCAGGCCUCAAACAUGCAAGUCUAGCGGGCGUAGCAAUACGUCAGCGGCGGACGGGUGCGUAACACGUGGGAACGUACCCUUUGGUUCGGAACAACGCAGGGAAACUUGCGCUAAUACCGGAUGUGCCCGAAAGGGGAAAGAUUUAUCGCCAAAGGAUCGGCCCGCGUUCGAUUAGCUAGUUGGCGGGGUAAUGGCCCACCAAGGCGACGAUCGAUAGCUGGUCUGAGAGGACGAUCAGCCACACUGGGACUGAGA
This 270-nucleotide ribosomal RNA is filed under the name uncultured bacterium. RNAcentral's name for it is "partial 16S ribosomal RNA". It matches the Rfam family "Bacterial small subunit ribosomal RNA", at positions 29 to 324 of the family's 1533-position model. The record is from RNAcentral.